UUUUGUUCCUGCCCGAGCUGUACUCCACGUUCCUGAACUGGAAUUUGAAGAAGAUGGCCGGGAGGCGUUCCCUGGGAGAGGAGAGGAGAGCAGAGAGGAGGCUCAGAGGUUUAGGUUAUAAAAUAUCCAGGAUCAAAUCCAACCUUGCUGUGAAAAUGUGGAUUUCCUGCUGGAGUCCCUGCUGAUAAACUUCACCUACUCUUUUAAUUUAUUGUCCACAUCUUCCCUUCUGUGACUCCAAGAUCACCUCGUGGUGGAACAUCUCACGGGAUGGCUCUGGAGGUGGGAAGGGAAAGGGAUGGAAAAGAGUGGGAGAAAACGCACAUGUUUCCAAGAAUAGCACAUUUCCCGCUUGGUCUCCUGGAUAAUGAGUGCUUUUUGGCCGAGGAUUCUGUAAUUAAUGAUUUUUUGAAGGGCAGGCAUGAGACACCCAUUCCAGAGCCAUGUCUGCAACGAGUGGUUUCACAGUAACAUCAGCUUUUUAAAUACAUCAGAGGCACAGGGAAUUUCAUCCCUGAUUUAACUCUCUGACAGCAAAGGGGUCACAGCAGUGACGAGGUUGGCUCUGGGUUUUCAUGGAACAGCUGAAGCAGCAGCAGCAGCCUGCUCCGGGAUGGAUUGACUCAGGGAUUGACAGGGAGCUGCAUUUAGCCAGCCCUUCCUGAUGGAUUUUCUUGCUUAUCUCGGCGUGUGCCUGGGCUUAGCUGGGAUGUUCACCUCCAUUCUGCUCCCAGCACUUUGGAAUCUGCAUUAGCUCAAUUAAUAACCUUCCAAGAAGGAAUAGAAACAACAAUUAGAGCCCAUUCCAACCCUUGCCACGAAGAAAUUCCCCCUGAUGUCCUCCCCUGGCACAAUUUGAGGCCAUCUCCCCUCAUCCUGUUGUCUGGGAGAAGAGGCUGACCCCCAGCUGGCUCCAGCCUCCUGGCAGGGGGUUGUGGAGAAUGAAAAUAUUUAUGGAAAUAAUUUAAAAACUCUUCACAGCACUGAAUCCCCCAAGGUUCUCAAUAUAAACCCCUGCUCUGACACCUGGCUGGGGUGGCACAGCUCAGCUGAGGAUAGGAAUGGUCAAAACUGAAACCUCCCCUGAAAAGCAUCAUUAAAUGCCAUUUUUUAGGGAUUUCUACAUGCUCCAACCUAAUUUAUCAGUUUUCCCAGGGUAGCAAAGUGAUAGAUCAUAUUGAGACAAAAAAAAAAAUUGAAUUUUGAGGCAGAAUCUUCAAUCUGGGAUUGAAGCUGCUGAAAUCAAGUGGGCUGGAGGAAAGAGCAGCUACCCAGUGUGACCCUGGCACCGUCACACAGGAGAGAAGGAAAACAUCUAAUGAGGAAAUAAAAAUGUGGAUUAUCUAAAAGAGUAACAGGGAAUUAUCCCAACGAGAAGCCUCAUUUACACCUGGGGAAAGUGGAAAUAAAUGUGGCAGGAAAUGCUCCCAGAUUGGGAUUACAGGCUGUGUUAACCCAAAAAAAAAAAAAAAAA
Molecule: long non-coding RNA, 1474 nt
Organism: Motacilla alba alba
Lineage: Eukaryota; Metazoa; Chordata; Aves; Passeriformes; Motacillidae
Exons: 2
Source: RefSeq, a predicted model, not a curated record